RNAcentral lists this long non-coding RNA (574 nucleotides) under Rattus norvegicus (Norway rat). RNAcentral's name for it is "long non-coding RNA NONRATT001911". Lineage: Eukaryota; Metazoa; Chordata; Mammalia; Rodentia; Muridae. The record is from RNAcentral.
UCUGAGGACAGCUUCCCUCUGGAGGCUUCUGCCUUGAGAAUGUCCCCGCAUGCCCACCACGUAGGCGCCCUCUGAUGUCUCUCCCCAGGUCAACUGCCCUGUGGUCAGUAACUGCACUAUGAAGGAGGACUGUAGUCCUGCAGACUGGAGACUUGCUGCAUUUGAAAUCUGAGAAUGUAUGCAGAGUUGGGCCUUACUCAUAGCUCCUGAUGUCAGGGUCUCAGACCUCCUACCAUAAGGCCUAUCGAGCACCUGGGCAUCCUUGGGAUCAAUGGAUCCAUCAGGAACACUGGAGAUGAGUCUGGUGAUCCUCCUUCAGCCCUGCUAGCUGCUGACAGGCUUCUGAGAAAAGAGGAAGACCCGGAACCCCAGGAUACUCCAAAAUCCAGGCAAACUCAGCUUCUCUGUCUCCUUGCCUGUUCUAAGUUACUUGUAGCUUCCAGAAAGGCCUUUUUCUUCAUUCUUCCAGGGGCCAAAGAGAAACAGCUUAAUGGUCUCCCUGAGUACAAAGGCAAGAGCCCACAUCCACCCUGGCAGGGUGGAUAAUGGCUUUGCAAAUAAAUGGUCCAAUGUG